UUUUGACACAAGCGAUACUAGGAGAGAGAAGAUCGAAGACCUACACACGACUGCCCAAACGACAAUUUAUAUGAAUACGAACUCGAUUGCCUGGUGCAGUUUCAAUAUCACAUAUCCCUGCUCAACUCUGGCAAUCUAAAUAGACGGACCAAAAUUUGAACACAUAGACGGACCAAAAUUUGAACAAUCACUUUUUAAACAAGCUGGAAAGCUCACCCUUCUCCUGCAUGGAACCUAGAAUAUCACAGCCCCCAAGC
Molecule: long non-coding RNA, 257 nt
Filed under: Malus domestica (apple)
Lineage: Eukaryota; Viridiplantae; Streptophyta; Magnoliopsida; Rosales; Rosaceae
Description: long non-coding RNA (MDOM_LNC019840)
Source: RNAcentral